This 392-nucleotide ribosomal RNA is filed under the name uncultured Oscillospiraceae bacterium. Its description in RNAcentral is "bacterial SSU rRNA". It matches the Rfam family "Bacterial small subunit ribosomal RNA", at positions 355 to 761 of the family's 1533-position model. The record is from RNAcentral. Lineage: Bacteria; Bacillati; Bacillota; Clostridia; Eubacteriales; Oscillospiraceae.
UGGGGAAUAUUGGGCAAUGGGCGAAAGCCUGACCCAGCAAUGCCGCGUGAAGGAAGAAGGCCUUCGGGUUGUAAACUUCUUUUAUCAGGGACGAAGGAUGUGACGGUACCUGAUGAAUAAGCUCCGGCUAACUACGUGCCAGCAGCCGCGGUAAUACGUAGGGAGCAAGCGUUAUCCGGAUUUACUGGGUGUAAAGGGCGCGUAGGCGGGAUGGCAAGUCAGAUGUGAAAUCCAUGGGCUCAACCCAUGAACUGCAUUUGAAACUGUUAUUCUUGAGUACUGGAGAGGUUGACGGAAUUCCUAGUGUAGCGGUGAAAUGCGUAGAUAUUAGGAGGAACACCAGUGGCGAAGGCGGUCAACUGGACAGCAACUGACGCUGAGGCGCGAAAGCG